This 491-nucleotide long non-coding RNA is filed under the name Monodelphis domestica (gray short-tailed opossum). RNAcentral's name for it is "lncRNA (ENSMODG00000050326.1)". Lineage: Eukaryota; Metazoa; Chordata; Mammalia; Didelphimorphia; Didelphidae. The record is from RNAcentral.
UUGGAAUGUUCUUGACGACUUAGACUCUUAGAGAGUUACCUAGACUGGAACUGAGGUUAAUGACCUGCUCUAAGUCAUAUUUGUAUAAUGAAGACACACAAAAGGAGCUUCUACUUUGUCCUGAAUCCCAGGAUAACUUUGCUGAAACCCAGAGAUAAGGAGCAGUUCUGAUGAACUCUAGCAUGGAUUAUCUCCUUUACCAGUCCCUGCAGCUGGUUCCUAAGCAACCAGAUGAGAUUCUGGACCAUAACAAAGUCUCAAAAGAGGAUUCACUUAGAUUCAUUGAUCCUGCAAGAAGACAGGUUAUCUGGGCUCAGUGGAUAGAGAGUUGGACCUGGAAUCAGGAAAGUAAAAAUUCAAAUCUUGCUUCAGACAUCAGACUCUGGAUCACAUAUCUGCAAGAAUUGCUUUAGGUUCUGGGCAACCUGGUCUGAUCAACUGGAGAACAUCUGGAGAAGGACAACCAGAAAUGUGAAGACACUUGAGUACAU